GCAAGUCGAGGGGUAACAUUGUAGCUUGCUACAGAUGACGACCGGCGAACGGGUGCGUAACGCGUAUAGAAUCUGCCUUGUACAUGAGGAUAGCCUUUAGAAAUGAAGAUUAAUACUCCAUAAUGCUAAUAUGUGGCAUCACAAAUUAGUUAAAGAUUUAUCGGUACAAGAUGACUAUGCGUCCUAUUAGCUAGUUGGUGAGGUAAUGGCUCACCAAGGCGACGAUCCCUAGCUGGUCUGAGAGGAUGAUC
RNAcentral lists this ribosomal RNA (251 nucleotides) under uncultured bacterium. Its description in RNAcentral is "partial 16S ribosomal RNA". It matches the Rfam family "Bacterial small subunit ribosomal RNA", at positions 57 to 305 of the family's 1533-position model. The record is from RNAcentral.